GAUGAACGCUGGCGGCAUGCCUAAUACAUGCAAGUCGAGCGAACAGAUGAAGUGCUUGCACUUCUGACGUUAGCGGCGAACGGGUAAGUAACACGUAAGGGAUCUACCUAUAAGCGGGGGAUAACAUUCGGAAACGGGUGCUAAUACCGCAUAGUAUCUUCUUCCGCAUGGAAGAAGAUUGAAAGACGGCUCUGCUGUCACUUAUAGAUGACCUUGCGGUGCAUUAGUUAGUUGGUGGGGUAACGGCCUACCAAGACGAUGAUGCAUAGCCGACCUGAGAGGGUGAUCGGCCACAUUGGGACUGAGACACGGCCCAAACUCCUACGGGAGGCAGCAGUAGGGAAUCUUCCGCAAUGGGCGAAAGCCUGACGGAGCAAUGCCGCGUGAGUGAAGGAGGCCUUCGGGUCGUAAAACUCUGUUAUAAGAGAAGAACAAAUUGUAGAGUAACUGCUACAGUCUUGACGGUAUCUUAUCAGAAAGCCACGGCUAACUACGUGCCAGCCGCCGCGGUAA
RNAcentral lists this ribosomal RNA (513 nucleotides) under uncultured bacterium. RNAcentral describes it as "partial 16S ribosomal RNA". It matches the Rfam family "Bacterial small subunit ribosomal RNA", at positions 28 to 523 of the family's 1533-position model. The record is from RNAcentral.